AGGACGGGUCUGCGGCCCGGCACGCCGGAGACGUCGUUCCUCGGAAAUGACAGCACAGAAAAACAGCAUCUAUGAAAUAAGAGCCAGCGGACCCUGUCAUCUUGUAGUAGCGACAAAAUCAUAACCAACCCCCAAAUAGCCAAACUGAUUGCAGAAAUACCCAGAGCAGGGAUGCUGGAAUCUUGUGGAACAAAGAAUCUAAUCGCUGGUGGAAUGUUAGAAACUUCUGAGAAUUCUACCAGAGUCACAGAUAUAAAAAUAAUCUUCUAAGCUGGGCGCCAGAGGCUCACGCCUGUUAUCCUAGCUACUCAGGAG
This is a long non-coding RNA of Dipodomys spectabilis (banner-tailed kangaroo rat), 315 nucleotides long. RefSeq lists it as uncharacterized. The transcript has 3 exons. The record is from RefSeq and is a predicted model, not a curated record. NCBI's taxonomy places the organism in Eukaryota, Metazoa, Chordata, Mammalia, Rodentia, Heteromyidae.